RNAcentral lists this ribosomal RNA (487 nucleotides) under uncultured bacterium. Its description in RNAcentral is "partial 16S ribosomal RNA". It matches the Rfam family "Bacterial small subunit ribosomal RNA", at positions 29 to 508 of the family's 1533-position model. The record is from RNAcentral.
AUUGAACGCUGGCGGCAUGCCUUACACAUGCAAGUCGAACGGCAGCACGGGUGCUUGCACCUGGUGGCGAGUGGCGAACGGGUGAGUAAUACAUCGGAACAUGUCCUGUAGUGGGGGAUAGCCCGGCGAAAGCCGGAUUAAUACCGCAUACGAUCUACGGAUGAAAGCGGGGGACCUUCGGGCCUCGCGCUAUAGGGUUGGCCGAUGGCUGAUUAGCUAGUUGGUGGGGUAAAGGCCUACCAAGGCGACGAUCAGUAGCUGGUCUGAGAGGACGACCAGCCACACUGGGACUGAGACACGGCCCAGACUCCUACGGGAGGCAGCAGUGGGGAAUUUUGGACAAUGGGCGAAAGCCUGAUCCAGCAAGGCCGCGUGUGGGAAGAAGGCCUUCGGGUUGUAAAGCACUUUUGUCCGGAAAGAAAUCCUUGGCCCUAAUACGGUCGGGGGAUGACGGUACCGGAAGAAUAAGCACCGGCUAACUACGUGC